AUCAUAUGUUUAAUUCCAUUAUUAAAUCCCAACAUAUUGAUUUACAAAGUCAUCUGAUCGAUACUAAAAUUACAUUACCUUAAACAACAACUACCUUUAAAGAUAGGUCCGUCCACCUGCACAAAAUAAAUUAGUUGACCUAUCCACCUGCAAAACAGAGUUAAUACCUGGUAGACAAAUAUAGUUGACUUCAUUAAAAUAAACUAAAUCACAUACACAUUAUUAGUCAUCUAAUACUCAAACAAUACCAGAAAAUAUAUUUCGUUCAUUCAAAUUAUUAAUCCUUUC
This 288-nucleotide long non-coding RNA is filed under the name Aquilegia coerulea. RNAcentral describes it as "long non-coding RNA (ACOE_LNC000699)". The record is from RNAcentral. Lineage: Eukaryota; Viridiplantae; Streptophyta; Magnoliopsida; Ranunculales; Ranunculaceae.